Molecule: ribosomal RNA, 516 nt
Filed under: Escherichia coli
Lineage: Bacteria; Pseudomonadati; Pseudomonadota; Gammaproteobacteria; Enterobacterales; Enterobacteriaceae
Also listed under: 7 other names
Description: partial 23S ribosomal RNA
Rfam family: Bacterial large subunit ribosomal RNA
Source: RNAcentral
UGGUGGGUAGUUUGACUGGGGCGGUCUCCUCCUAAAGAGUAACGGAGGAGCACGAAGGUUGGCUAAUCCUGGUCGGACAUCAGGAGGUUAGUGCAAUGGCAUAAGCCAGCUUGACUGCGAGCGUGACGGCGCGAGCAGGUGCGAAAGCAGGUCAUAGUGAUCCGGUGGUUCUGAAUGGAAGGGCCAUCGCUCAACGGAUAAAAGGUACUCCGGGGAUAACAGGCUGAUACCGCCCAAGAGUUCAUAUCGACGGCGGUGUUUGGCACCUCGAUGUCGGCUCAUCACAUCCUGGGGCUGAAGUAGGUCCCAAGGGUAUGGCUGUUCGCCAUUUAAAGUGGUACGCGAGCUGGGUUUAGAACGUCGUGAGACAGUUCGGUCCCUAUCUGCCGUGGGCGCUGGAGAACUGAGGGGGGCUGCUCCUAGUACGAGAGGACCGGAGUGGACGCAUCACUGGUGUUCGGGUUGUCAUGCCAAUGGCACUGCCCGGUAGCUAAAUGCGGAAGAGAUAAGUGCUGA